This 443-nucleotide ribosomal RNA is filed under the name uncultured bacterium. RNAcentral's name for it is "bacterial SSU rRNA". It matches the Rfam family "Bacterial small subunit ribosomal RNA", at positions 954 to 1392 of the family's 1533-position model. The record is from RNAcentral.
GCACAACGCGAAGAACCUUACCAGGUCUUGACAUCCCAUUGACCACUAUGGAGACAUAGUUUUCCCGUUCGGGGACAACGGUGACAGGUGGUGCAUGGUUGUCGUCAGCUCGUGUCGUGAGAUGUUGGGUUAAGUCCCGCAACGAGCGCAACCCUUGUUCUUAGUUGCCAUCAUUUAGUUGGGCACUCUAAGGAGACUGCCGGUGACAAACCGGAGGAAGGUGGGGAUGACGUACAAAUCAUCAUCGCCCCUUAUGACCGUGGGCUACACACGUGCUACAAUGGACGGUAACAACGGUUGCCAACCCGCGAGGGGGAGCUAAUCCGAUAAAACCGUUCUCAGUUCGGAUUGUAGGCUGCAACUCGCCUACAUGAAGCCGGAAUCGCUAGUAAUCGCGGAUCAGCAUGCCGCGGUGAAUACGUUCCCGGGUCUUGUACACACCG